This 429-nucleotide ribosomal RNA is filed under the name Actinomycetes bacterium. RNAcentral's name for it is "Actinobacteria bacterium partial 16S ribosomal RNA". It matches the Rfam family "Bacterial small subunit ribosomal RNA", at positions 355 to 776 of the family's 1533-position model. The record is from RNAcentral. Lineage: Bacteria; Bacillati; Actinomycetota; Actinomycetes.
UAGGGAAUCUUCCGCAAUGGGCGAAAGCCUGACGGAGCAACGCCGCGUGAGUGAUGAAGGUCUUCGGAUCUUAAAACUCUGUUAUUAGGGAAGAACAAAUGUGUAAGUAACUAUGCACGUCUUGACGGUACCUAAUCAGAAAGCCACGGCUAACUACGUGCCAGCAGCCGCGGUAAUACGUAGGUGGCAAGCGUUAUCCGGAAUUAUUGGGCGUAAAGCGCGCGUAGGCGGUUUUUUAAGUCUGAUGUGAAAGCCCACGGCUCAACCGUGGAGGGUCAAUGGAAACUGGAAAACUUGAGUGCAGAAGAGGAAAGUGGAAUUCCAUGUGUAGCGGUGAAAUGCGCAGAGAUAUGGAGGAACACCAGUGGCGAAGGCGACUUUCUAGUCUGUAACUGACGCUGAUGUGCGAAAGCGUGGGGAUCAAACAGG